Molecule: ribosomal RNA, 515 nt
Filed under: Solobacterium sp.
Lineage: Bacteria; Bacillati; Bacillota; Erysipelotrichia; Erysipelotrichales; Erysipelotrichaceae
Description: bacterial SSU rRNA
Rfam family: Bacterial small subunit ribosomal RNA
Source: RNAcentral
CAAAUGAAGAGUUUGAUCCUGGCUCAGGAUGAACGCUGGCGGCGUGCCUAAUACAUGCAAGUCGAACGCUGGAGAUCUAGCUUGCUAGAUCGAAGGAGUGGCGAACGGGUGAGUAAUACAUAAGCAACCUACCCACGAAGACUGGGAUAAUCUCUGGAAACGGGGACUAAUACCGGAUAGGUAAUCGGAAGGCAUCUUCUGGUUAUUAAAGGUUAAAAACACUGGUGGAUGGGCUUAUGGCGCAUUAGUUAGUUGGUGAGGUAACGGCCCACCAAGACGAUGAUGCGUAGCCGGCCUGAGAGGGUGAACGGCCACAUUGGGACUGAGACACGGCCCAGACUCCUACGGGAGGCAGCAGUAGGGAAUUUUCGGCAAUGGGGGAAACCCUGACCGAGCAACGCCGCGUGAGUGAUGACGGCCUUCGGGUUGUAAAGCUCUGUUGUAAGGGAAGAACGGUAGAUAGAGAAUAUCUAAGUGACGGUACCUUACCAGAAAGCCACGGCUAACUACGUGCC